AGGAUGAACGCUGGCGGCGUGCCUAACACAUGCAAGUCGAACGUCCUGUCUCGCAAGAGGCAGGGAGUGGCGGACGGGUGAGUACCACGUGGGUCAUCUACCGUGAGGUGAGGAAUACCGGCGAGAAAUCGCCGACAAGACCGCAUAGGCUCGAUGCAAGUCGAGCAAAGCUCUUUCGAGAGAGGGAGCGCCACACGAGGAGCCUGCGCCCGAUUAGCUAGCUGGUGGAGUAACGGUUCACCAGGGCGACGAUCGGUAGCUGGUCUGAGAGGACGAUCAGCCACACUGGGAUUGAGAACGGCCCAGACUCCUACGGGGGGCAGCAGUGAGGAAUUUUCGUCAAUGGGGGCAACCCUGAACGAGCAACGCCGCGUGCAGGAGAAGGUUUCGGAUCGUAAACUGCUUUUCUCGGGAAGAGAACGGACGGUACCCGAGGAAUCGAGCCCCGGCUAACUACGUGCCAGCAGCCGACGGU
RNAcentral lists this ribosomal RNA (475 nucleotides) under uncultured bacterium. RNAcentral describes it as "SSU rRNA". It matches the Rfam family "Bacterial small subunit ribosomal RNA", at positions 26 to 521 of the family's 1533-position model. The record is from RNAcentral.